This 256-nucleotide ribosomal RNA is filed under the name uncultured bacterium. Its description in RNAcentral is "partial 16S ribosomal RNA". It matches the Rfam family "Bacterial small subunit ribosomal RNA", at positions 77 to 334 of the family's 1533-position model. The record is from RNAcentral.
UGCUUGCAUUGGGGAGUAAAGUGGCGAACGGGUGAGUAACACGUUGGUGACCUGCCCCGAGUGGGGGACAACCGUGGGAAACCACGGCUAAUACCCCGGAUGUUGAGGAGUCUAGACGUCCUUAACUAAAGUACUGGCGCCUCGGGAGGGGCCUGCGGGCUAUCAGCUUGUUGGUGGGGUAAUGGCCUACCAAGGCUAAGACGGCUAGGGGGCGUGAGAGCGCGACCCCCCACAAUGGAACUGAGACACGGUCCAU